AAUGAACGCUGGCGGCGCGCCUAAUACAUGCAAGUCGAGCGAGAAGACGUAGCAAUACGUUUGUAAGGCGGCGAACGGGUGAGGAAUACAUGGGUAACCUACCCUAGAGUGGGGAAUAACUAGCCGAAAGGUUAGCUAAUACCGCGUACGCUCCUUGGACUUCGGUUCAGGGAGGAAAGCGAUGCCGAGGGUAUCGCGCUCUUGGAUGGGCUCAUGUCCUAUCAGCUGUUGGUGAGGUAACGGCUCACCAAGGCUUCGACGGGUAGCUGGUCUGAGAGGACGAUCAGCCACACUGGCACUGCGACAC
Molecule: ribosomal RNA, 307 nt
Filed under: uncultured bacterium
Lineage: Bacteria
Description: bacterial SSU rRNA
Rfam family: Bacterial small subunit ribosomal RNA
Source: RNAcentral